This 253-nucleotide ribosomal RNA is filed under the name uncultured bacterium. RNAcentral's name for it is "partial 16S ribosomal RNA". It matches the Rfam family "Bacterial small subunit ribosomal RNA", at positions 524 to 776 of the family's 1533-position model. The record is from RNAcentral.
UACGUAGGUGACCAGCGUUGUCCGGAUUUACUGGGCGUAAAGAGCGCGCAGGCGGUCGUUCAAGUCGAGUGUGAAAGCCCCCGGCUCAACUGGGGAGGGUCACUUGAUACUGAUCGACUCGAAGGCAGGAGAGGGAAGCGGAAUUCCCGGUGUAGUGGUGAAAUGCGUAGAUAUCGGGAGGAACACCAAUUGCGAAGGCAGCUCGCUGGGACGUUACUGACGCUGAGACGCGAAAGCGUGGGGAGCAAACAGG